GAGUUUGAUCAUGGCUCAGAACGAACGCUGGCGGCAGGCCUAACACAUGCAAGUCGAACGGGAAGCUGGUCUUCGGACCAGUGGAGAGUGGCGCACGGGUGAGUAACGCGUGGGAAUUUACCUUUUGGUGGGGGAUAACCCCGGGAAACUGGGGCUAAUACCGCAUACGCCCGGUCCUUAUGGAUUGGGGAAAGAUUUAUCGCCGAAAGAUGAGCCCGCGUCCGAUUAGGUAGUUGGUGUGGUAACGGCGCACCAAGCCUUCGAUCGGUAGCUGGUCUGAGAGGACGAUCAGCCACACUGGGACUGAGACACGGCCCAGACUCCUACGGGAGGCAGCAGUGGGGAAUAUUGGACAAUGGGCGCAAGCCUGAUCCAGCCAUGCCGCGUGAGUGAAGAAGGCCCUAGGGUUGUAAAACUCUUUCACCGGUGAAGAUAAUGACGGUAGCCGGAGAAGAAGCCCCGGCUAACUCCGUGCCAGCAGCCGCGGUAAUACGGAGGGGGCUAGCGUUGUUCGGAAUUACUGGGCGUAAAGCGCGCGUANGCGGUUUGUUAAGUUGGGCGUGAAAGCCCGGGGCUCAANCCC
Molecule: ribosomal RNA, 583 nt
Filed under: uncultured bacterium
Lineage: Bacteria
Description: bacterial SSU rRNA
Rfam family: Bacterial small subunit ribosomal RNA
Source: RNAcentral